CUGGGAAAACCCUAAAUGAUGUCACAAAGAGUCCAACAUGACUAAAAGGACUCAGCAACAAUAGUCUUGUGGUUGUUUUUAUCUAGUCCUUGCUGUGGAGUAUCUGACAUUUCUAUUUUCUAGAAAGUCAUGAAUCCUCCAUUCUUUCAUCCUAAACCUCUUUUGUUUCCAUGGGGAGGCAAUGUUGCAUACAGGCAAGACUUAGAGUCUAUUCUAGAUUGAGUCUCACCCUAGGAUCAUAAUUCUAGAAGUAGAAAAAAGAAAGGGAAGCCCAGGGAAGUUAACUGACUCAUCCAAGCUCAUCCAAGGUAACACAGGUGGGAGGCUUGAAGCAGAACAAUGUGAGAUCACAAUAUUGUACAGCAGAAAGAAUGUUGGAUUAAAAUUCCAGGAAUCAAGUUCAAGUCUUAGAUCUGCCACACACUAUUUGUGUGACCUUGGGCAAGUCACUUCAAUUCCUUGGGCCACACUUUCCAUCAUUAAAAUGAAGGGCUUGGACUUGAUGACUUAUAAUAUCUCUUGUAGCUCUAAAUAGAUGAUCUAGGUAAGUAUCUCUCUUAUUUCCUGAGCCAUUAGAGCAAUCUUGAUUUGGUUCUAAAAUCCAUGUUAAAUACACCUCUCUUUAUCAAUGUCACUCUAUCAGAAUUGAAAAACAGUUGGGCAAAGUGAAAGAAAACUUCCUUUUCUCCAAGAAACACAAGCCCUUGCUGGCCAUCCAGGGAUGCAAGUGAGUUUGUUUAAAAUAGACUGUUGUUCUCUGUCCACAGGUGUCCAACCCUAAGGGGCAAAUUAGUGUCACCAUGGAAGAAAAAAGGCUAGGGCUUAAUUGGAGGGAUCCUGAGCCUCCUACCCUAUCUCUGAGAGAACAUCAAAUGAGAGAAAAGAAACAGGAUACAUCUCCAGGCAAAUGGAAGUCCUAGGAGGGAGCGUUAGUAAACACUGAACAUUCUGCACUAACUGCACUUAAUCUAAUUACUUUAAAGGUGAAUGGAACAUUCAAACUUCAUUUACAUAACAGCAGUCCUGAUGUUUGUACAUUGUGCAAUCAAUUAAAAUGAACAUAUGCAGGGGCUGAAAAUGAAACAUUGAUAAAACAGGAUUAAUCAAAAGCUUAUCAUGAGCAAUAUCACUCUUAAUCGGAUUGGAAGAACUCUGUAGGGCCAUUCCAAAACUGAUGAGUUGAAGGCUAUAUUUAAAUUGUUAAUCACUGAAUUAAUUGGUGCCAUUAAAUCUCCUAUGUUCUGACUACUGCUUUUCCCCCUGAGGUCAGAAUCUCCUUCCUUGUCAGGCCAUUUGUCCAUGACACAAAACAUCAUCAUCAUUCUUGUCUCUAUCACCAUGACCAUCAAACAUUUUUAAGUGCAUACUUGGAUACUUUGAUGGAGCUAUGAUCUCCUCAGGGUGGGUACUCUUGUCUGACUUUUGUCUUUAUUCUUCCAUAAAUCCAACACAAGGAAUUCACUGAAGACAAUGAGGGCUUUUUUCCUUCCUUUUCUGUUUCUCUUGGUGUUAUUUGGAUAUUCAUGGACCAUGUG
Molecule: long non-coding RNA, 1535 nt
Filed under: Monodelphis domestica (gray short-tailed opossum)
Lineage: Eukaryota; Metazoa; Chordata; Mammalia; Didelphimorphia; Didelphidae
Description: lncRNA (ENSMODG00000049256.1)
Source: RNAcentral